AUUGAACGCUGGCGGCAGGCCUAACACAUGCCAGUCGAGCGGAUGAAGGGAGCUUGCUCCUGGAUUCAGCGGCGGACGGGUGAGUAAUGCCUAGGAAUCUGCCUGGUAGUGGGGGAUAACGUCCGGAAACGGGCGCUAAUACCGCAUACGUCCUGAGGGAGAAAGUGGGGGAUCUUCGGACCUCACGCUAUCAGAUGAGCCUAGGUCGGAUUAGCUAGUUGGUGGGGUAAAGGCCUACCAAGGCGACGAUCCGUAACUGGCCUGAGAGGAUGAUCAGUCACACUGGAACUGAGACACGGUCCAGACUCCUACGGGAGGCAGCAGUGGGGAAUAUUGGACAAUGGGCGAAAGCCUGAUCCAGCCAUGCCGCGUGUGUGAAGAAGGUCUUCGGAUUGUAAAGCACUUUAAGUUGGGAGGAAGGGCAGUAAGUUAAUACCUUGCUGUUUUGACGUUACCAACAGAAUAAGCACCGGCUAACUUCGUG
Molecule: ribosomal RNA, 484 nt
Filed under: uncultured bacterium
Lineage: Bacteria
Description: partial 16S ribosomal RNA
Rfam family: Bacterial small subunit ribosomal RNA
Source: RNAcentral